AUUGUAUUUGCUAUAUAGUCUAAUAUUUAUUCUCUUUGAAGGUAGUAGAUAGGUUCUAUUAGCCAUCAAUAAUACUUCAUUUUGAGGUAGGAAAACCACCCUAUUAUUUGGUUGUUAUUGAAGCCUUUGUAACUUCUUUUAAACAAAAUAUUUAUAAUACUAUCAUGAAUUGUUUUUACUUCUAAUAAAAUCAUCAAACAUCAAGAGUCUCUUAAGGUUGUGAUACCAAAUAUGUUAUAUCUUGUCAUCUAUUCAAAAACAAAUAUCAUUCUUGAAGUUCUUUAUCUUUAUUACGUUAUCUUGAAGGUUGUAAUGAUUGCAAUGUCUCAUUUAGUAACUCAAUAAAUGAUAAUUU
RNAcentral lists this long non-coding RNA (355 nucleotides) under Physcomitrium patens. Its description in RNAcentral is "long non-coding RNA (PPAT_LNC007844)". Lineage: Eukaryota; Viridiplantae; Streptophyta; Bryopsida; Funariales; Funariaceae. The record is from RNAcentral.